This 253-nucleotide ribosomal RNA is filed under the name uncultured bacterium. Its description in RNAcentral is "partial 16S ribosomal RNA". It matches the Rfam family "Bacterial small subunit ribosomal RNA", at positions 524 to 776 of the family's 1533-position model. The record is from RNAcentral.
UACGGGGGGGGCAAGCGUUGUUCGGAAUUACUGGGCGUAAAGCGCGUGUAGGCGGCCUUGUAAGUCCGUUCUGAAAGUCCGGGGCUCAACCCCGGGAGGCGGAUGGAUACUGCAAGGCUCGAGUACGGAAGAGGCGAGUGGAAUUCCCGGUGUAGCGGUGAAAUGCGCAGAUAUCGGGAGGAACACCAAUGGCGAAGGCAGCUCGCUGGGACGUUACUGACGCUGAGGCGCGAAAGCCAGGGGAGCAAACGGG